AACGAACGCUGGCGGCAUGCCUAACACAUGCAAGUCGAACGAGACCUUCGGGUCUAGUGGCGCACGGGUGCGUAACGCGUGGGAACCUGCCCUUAGGUUCGGAAUAACUCCCCGAAAGGGGUGCUAAUACCGGAUCAUGUCUUCCGACCAAAGAUUUAUCGCCUUUGGAUGGGCCCGCGUGGGAUUAGCUAGUUGGUAGGGUAAAAGCCUACCAAGGCGACGAUACAUAGCUGGUCUGAGAGGCAGAUCAGCCACACUGGGCCUGAGACACGGCCCAGACUCCUACGGGAGGCAGCAGUGGGGAAUAUUGGACAAUGGGCGAAAGCCUGAUGCAGCAAUGCCGCGUGAGUGAUGAAGGCCGUAGGGUUGGAAAGCUCUUUUACCCGGGAUGAUAAUGACAGUACCGGGAGAAUAAGCUCCGGCUAACUCCGUG
RNAcentral lists this ribosomal RNA (433 nucleotides) under uncultured bacterium. RNAcentral's name for it is "partial 16S ribosomal RNA". It matches the Rfam family "Bacterial small subunit ribosomal RNA", at positions 29 to 507 of the family's 1533-position model. The record is from RNAcentral.